UUACUGAAUUGUCAAACGGGUUGUUGCUGGCCCUCAUAGGGGGCAUGUGCACGCUCUGUUUACACAUCCACUCACACCUGUGCACCCUCUGUAGUUCUAUGGUCUGGGGGACCCUGUCUUCCUUCUGUGGUUCUACGUCUUUACACACACACUGUAAUAAAGUUUUAUGGAAUGUACAUCGCGUCUAACGCAAUACAAUACAACUUUCAGCAACGGAUCUCUUGGCUCUCGCAUCGAUGAAGAACGCAGCGAAAUGCGAUAAGUAAUGUGAAUUGCAGAAUUCAGUGAAUCAUCGAAUCUUUGAACGCACCUUGCGCCCCUUGGCUAUUCCGAGGGGCAUGCCUGUUUGAGUAUCAUGAACACCUCAACUCUCAUGGUUUGCCAUGAUGAGUUGGACUCUGGGGGUUUUGCUGGCCUGUGGUCGGCUCCUCUCAAAUUAAUCAGCCUCCCAGUGUUUGGUGGCAUCACGGGUGUGAUAAAUAUCUACGCUCGCUGUUGUCUGCCAGGUAACCUUUGGUCACAAAGGUUUGCUGGAGCUCACAGAUGUCUCUCCUCAGCGAGGACAGCUUUUUUAACGUUCGAUCUCAAAUCAGGUAGGACUACCCGCUGAACUU
Molecule: ribosomal RNA, 614 nt
Filed under: uncultured Thelephora
Lineage: Eukaryota; Fungi; Basidiomycota; Agaricomycetes; Thelephorales; Thelephoraceae
Description: eukaryotic LSU rRNA
Rfam family: 5.8S ribosomal RNA (bases 202-356)
Source: RNAcentral